This 231-nucleotide ribosomal RNA is filed under the name uncultured bacterium. RNAcentral's name for it is "partial 16S ribosomal RNA". It matches the Rfam family "Bacterial small subunit ribosomal RNA", at positions 99 to 334 of the family's 1533-position model. The record is from RNAcentral.
CGGACGGGUGAGUAAUGUCUGGGAAACUGCCCGAUGGAGGGGGGAGAAUACUGGAACGGUAGCUAAUACCGCAUAACGUCGCAAGACCAAAGAGGGGGACCUUCGGGCCUCUUGCCAUCGGAUGUGCCCAGAUGGGAUUAGCUAGUAGGUGGGGUAACGGCUCACCUAGGCGACGAUCCCUAGCUGGUCUGAGAGGAUGACCAGCCACACUGGAACUGAGACACGGUCCAG